UACGUAGGGAGCAAGCGUUGUUCGGAUUUACUGGGCGUAAAGAGCGCGCAGGCGGUCGAUCAAGUCGAGUGUGAAAGCCCCCGGCUCAACUGGGGAGGGUCAUUCGAUACUGAUCGACUCGAAGGCAGGAGAGGGUAGUGGAAUUCCCGGUGUAGUGGUGAAAUGCGUAGAUAUCGGGAGGAACACCAGUGGCGAAGGCGACUACCUGGCCUGUUCUUGACGCUGAGGCGCGAAAGCUAGGGGAGCAAACGGGG
Molecule: ribosomal RNA, 254 nt
Filed under: uncultured bacterium
Lineage: Bacteria
Description: partial 16S ribosomal RNA
Rfam family: Bacterial small subunit ribosomal RNA
Source: RNAcentral